Molecule: small nuclear RNA, 165 nt
Organism: Rhinopithecus roxellana (golden snub-nosed monkey)
Lineage: Eukaryota; Metazoa; Chordata; Mammalia; Primates; Cercopithecidae
Product: U1 spliceosomal RNA
Exons: 1
Source: RefSeq, a predicted model, not a curated record
AUGUUUACUUGGCAGGGAAGAUAUCACGAUCACGAAGGUGGUUUUCCCAUGAGCGGGGUUUCUCUAUUGCACUCCGGAUGUACUGAUUCCUGCGAUUUUUCCUAAAUGUGGGAAAGUUGACCGCAUGGUUUGUGGUAGUAGGAAACGGCCUUACGCACUUUCCCG